CUACGGGAAGGCAGCAGUAGGGAAUCUUCCACAAUGGACGCAAGUCUGAUGGAGCACGCCGCGUGAGUGAAGAAGGUUUUCGGAUCGUAAAGCUCUGUUGUUGGUGAAGAAGGAUAGAGGCAGUAACUGGUCUUUAUUUGACGGUAAUCAACCAGAAAGUCACGGCUAACUACGUGCCAGCAGCCGCGGUAAUACGUAGGUGGCAAGCGUUGUCCGGAUUUAUUGGGCGUAAAGCGAGCGCAGGCGGAAUGAUAAGUCUGAUGUGAAAGCCCACGGCUCAACCGUGGAACUGCAUCGGAAACUGUCAUUCUUGAGUGCAGAAGAGGAGAGUGGAAUUCCAUGUGUAGCGGUGGAAUGCGUAGAUAUAUGGAAGAACACCAGUGGCGAAGGCGGCUCUCUGGUCUGCAACUGACGCUGAGGCUCGAAAGCAUGGGUAGCGAACAGGAUUAGAUACCCUGGUAG
RNAcentral lists this ribosomal RNA (462 nucleotides) under Lactobacillus delbrueckii. Its description in RNAcentral is "bacterial SSU rRNA". It matches the Rfam family "Bacterial small subunit ribosomal RNA", at positions 339 to 793 of the family's 1533-position model. The record is from RNAcentral. Lineage: Bacteria; Bacillati; Bacillota; Bacilli; Lactobacillales; Lactobacillaceae.